RNAcentral lists this ribosomal RNA (622 nucleotides) under uncultured bacterium. Its description in RNAcentral is "bacterial SSU rRNA". It matches the Rfam family "Bacterial small subunit ribosomal RNA", at positions 71 to 686 of the family's 1533-position model. The record is from RNAcentral.
GGAAGCAGCUUGCUGCUUCGCUGACGAGUGGCGGACGGGUGAGUAAUGUCUGGGAAACUGCCCGAUGGAGGGGGAUAACUACUGGAAACGGUAGCUAAUACCGCAUAACGUCGCAAGACCAAAGAGGGGGACCUUCGGGCCUCUUGCCAUCGGAUGUGCCCAGAUGGGAUUAGCUAGUAGGUGGGGUAACGGCUCACCUAGGCGACGAUCCCUAGCUGGUCUGAGAGGAUGACCAGCCACACUGGAACUGAGACACGGUCCAGACUCCUACGGGAGGCAGCAGUGGGGAAUAUUGCACAAUGGGCGCAAGCCUGAUGCAGCCAUGCCGCGUGUAUGAAGAAGGCCUUCGGGUUGUAAAGUACUUUCAGCGGGGAGGAAGGCGAUGAGGUUAAUAACCUCGUCGAUUGACGUUACCCGCAGAAGAAGCACCGGCUAACUCCGUGCCAGCAGCCGCGGUAAUACGGAGGGUGCAAGCGUUAAUCGGAAUUACUGGGCGUAAAGCGCACGCAGGCGGUCUGUCAAGUCGGAUGUGAAAUCCCCGGGCUCAACCUGGGAACUGCAUUCGAAACUGGCAGGCUUGAGUCUCGUAGAGGGGGGUAGAAUUCCAGGUGUAGCGGUGAAA